GACGAACGCUGGCGGCGUGCCUAACACAUGCAAGUCGAACGGAAAGGCCUCUUUCGGGGGGUACUCGAGUGGCGAACGGGUGAGUAACACGUGAGUAACCUGCCCUUGACUUUGGGAUAACUUCAGGAAACUGGGGCUAAUACCGGACAGGAGCUCCUGCUGCAUGGUGGGGGUUGGAAAGUUUCGGCGGUUGGGGAUGGACUCGCGGCUUAUCAGCUUGUUGGUGGGGUAGUGGCUUACCAAGGCUUUGACGGGUAGCCGGCCUGAGAGGGUGACCGGCCACAUUGGGACUGAGAUACGGCCCAGACUCCUACGGGAGGCAGCAGUGGGGAAUAUUGCACAAUGGGUGGAAGCCUGAUGCAGCAACGCCGUGUGCGGGAUGACGGCCUUCGGGUUGUAAACCGCUUUCGCUCAUGACGAAGCUUUGUGUGACGGUAGUGGGUAAAGAAGCACCGGCUAACUACGUG
This 467-nucleotide ribosomal RNA is filed under the name uncultured bacterium. RNAcentral describes it as "partial 16S ribosomal RNA". It matches the Rfam family "Bacterial small subunit ribosomal RNA", at positions 28 to 507 of the family's 1533-position model. The record is from RNAcentral.